GCUUUACUUGUUGUUGUUUUUUAGGUGAAUCAAUUGCAAUUGAUGGAAUAUAUAUAAAAUGCUGAGAAUAUUUUCCAACAAUUUUGUGAUCUCCAUAAAUAUGAAGGGGAAAGGUGAAAAUAUGCUUUAAGAGCACUAAUUUAUAUGGUGUAGUAAAAGUUCAUGUAAUUUUUUCAAAAUCGAAUAUGCGGAAAGGAGCUGUUUGGAAUGAAGAUUUAC
Hydra vulgaris (swiftwater hydra) is the source of this 219-nucleotide non-coding RNA. Lineage: Eukaryota; Metazoa; Cnidaria; Hydrozoa; Anthoathecata; Hydridae. The record is from RefSeq and is a predicted model, not a curated record.